Molecule: long non-coding RNA, 1181 nt
Filed under: Malus domestica (apple)
Lineage: Eukaryota; Viridiplantae; Streptophyta; Magnoliopsida; Rosales; Rosaceae
Description: long non-coding RNA (MDOM_LNC008886)
Source: RNAcentral
ACUACCCUUACACCUCUCCACCACCACCGGCCUCUCCUCCCUACCAUUACAAGUCACCACCGCCUCCUUCUCCUUCUCCUCCAGUGCACUACUCACCACCUAAGCAUCCCUACCACCCUAAGUCACCACCACCUCCUGUGUACGCACCACCUAAGCAUCCCUACCACCCUAAGUCACCACCACCUCCUGUGUACCCACCACCUAAGCAUCCCUACCACCCCAAGUCACCACCACCAUCACCAAAGCCUUACCACUACAAAUCCCCACCACCACCUCCUGCUCCAGUGCACUCACCACCCCCACCUAAGGAGCCAUACCACUACAAGUCCCCACCACCACCACCCAAGAAGCCCUACCACUACAAAUCUCCCCCACCACCUCCUCCUCCAGUUCACUCACCACCACCACCCAAGGAGCCUUACCACUACAAAUCUCCACCACCACCACCCAAGAAACCUUACUAUUACAAGUCUCCUCCACCACCACCAAAGAAGCCUUACCACUACAUGUCUCCUCCCCCACCGGUGUACUCACCACCUCCACCAGUGCACUCACACCCACCACCAAAAAAGCCUUACCAUUACAAAUCUCCUCCCCCGCCAGAAUAUUCACCAGCUCCACCAGUGCACUCAACCCCACCACCAAAGAAGCCCUACCAUUACAAAUCCCCACCACCACCACCACCACACAAGAAGCCUUAUUACCCUGUUCACUCACCACCUCCACCUAAGAAGCCUUACCACUACAAAUCCCCACCACCACCUUCUCCUACUCCUCCUAAAUACUCACCACCUAAGCACCCCUACCACUACAAGUCUCCACCACCACCACCAAAGAAGCCUUACCAUUACAAGUCCCCACCACCUCCUUCUCCUACUCCCCCUAAAUACUCACCACCUAAGCACCCCUACCACUACAAGUCACCACCACCACCACCCCAAGAAGCCUUACCACUACAAGUCUCCACCACCACCACCUCCUCCAGUUCCCACACCAUCUCCACCCAAGAAACCUUACCACUACAAGUCUCCCCCACCACCCCCUCCAGUCUACAAGUCUCCUCCACCACCAGUUUACUCACCACCACCACCACCUAAGAAACCUUACAAGCCACCAACUCCUCCAGCAGUUCACCCACCACACGGUUACAUCUAUUCCUCACCCCCACCUCCUCACCACUA